UUACUUUUUACUUACAAAGCUUAUUCAAUAUUCAGUCAGAUCAGAGAUCAAAUUCAAAGUAAUGAAGUAGGCCUAUUAACUUAAUUAAGUAAAGUAAAGUUGUAAGUUGUUGACUGCUGUAGUGAACAAGUGAACGGUUAUUUAAUUUCAUAGUUAUUUUUGUUUUAACUGCUGCAAUGGGUAAAAUUUAGAAUGGAGCAAGCUAUCAUAGAUCUUGAGGAACAAUUUCUCAAUACUGUGAAGAGACUUGAUGACAUCGAAUGGAAAGUAGAAAGCACUCAGACGUAUAAAAAUAACAAUUGUGAAUCUAUAGUGAAACUUAUAACGGAGAGCAAAAGUUUAAGCAACAAUUUUGAUAGUAUUUCAAGCGAACUGGCAGAAUUGGACCCUAACCUGGAUGACAUAAGGUCCAAACUGAGAAAUGCUUAUCAAUACCAUGCAAUAAACUUCGAUUCUUUGAACAGAAACGUGCAAGCCUUCCAGAGUUCGUCACCAUCAACUGGAUGUAACAAAAAUUAAGAAUCAAUGGAUAAAACAAGCUCUACCUACUUUAUAGGCCCUAUUAAGCCGUUUGUCAAAGCGUCUGAUGAACUAAAAAGCAGUUCAGAAAAUACUGAUUCUAAUCCAACACCUAGACCUGUGUUUGUUUCUGGUAGUCAUGUCAAACAGUUUUAUGAAAAGGUGAUCGGAAAAGUUUCCAAUACUAAGCGAGUAGAAAAAAGGGAAACAGCUGAUGAUUGCAAGAAACAGAAAACUGUAGUCAAAGUGACAUUUAAUAUUAAUACACUUAUGAAGGCCGUUGAAGGCGGAAAUUUGAAGGAUGUUGAAAAAAUAUUAGAUGGAAAUGAAGAUAAGAUCAACACGACGGAUCAGUUUGGUUGGACUCCGCUGAUGUCAGCAUGUUGUACUGGGAAUAUAGACAUGGUGGAGCUGCUACUAAGAUGGUGUCCGCGACUUGAUCUUCGAGACAAAAAAGGCAACACUUGUCGUCAACUAGCUUCUAGUAGAGGUCACACUCAUGUCUUGACUAUUCUGGACAAAUAUACUCUACAGUCCAAAAACACUACCGUAGAAGAGUCUACCUGUUCGGAACAAUCACGAAUCACCCCGUUUUACUGCAAGAGGUGUAAAUUAAGUUUCGAGGAUACAUCGUUAAAGCAACAUCUUUCUUCCACUGUUCACAAUUUCAACGCUGCAUCGAAGAAAAAGAUACCUACAAUGUACGGAAUUCCUGAAAGCAACAAAGGAUUUCAAAUCCUACUCAGGUCAGGAUGGGACAAAGAAACCGGGCUAGGUCCGAGCGGCGAAGGCAAUAAAUUUCCCCCGAAAACCAUUUUGAAACAAGACCGGACGGGGUUGGGAGCUAAACAGUACAAACCAAGAGUAACACAUAAUGUGGAGGAUGCACGGAGGAAUGCAAAACCCAAAGAUACAUUCAAAAGAAAGCUACAGUCGCAAAAAAGAAAGGACCAAAGACUGGAAAGGAAUUUAAGACAAAUGUUGUCAUAGCAUUGGGUCCAAAUAGUCGAUGUUGGGUGUAAAUAAUGUAAAUAUAUAAAUUAGUGAGCAUAAUCUGAAAUGGAAAAUCCUAAAUUAACCUUGAAACAACUGCAUGCUGCAGAGCUCCAAGCUGACUCUAUUUUGCGAGACAGAGCUGAGAUUGUCGACCUCGACCGCAGACGCAACAGUAACCGAG
Macrosteles quadrilineatus (aster leafhopper) is the source of this 1696-nucleotide RNA transcript. It is a transcript of the gene named p53 and DNA damage-regulated protein 1, with no coding region annotated. The transcript has 4 exons. NCBI's taxonomy places the organism in Eukaryota, Metazoa, Arthropoda, Insecta, Hemiptera, Cicadellidae. The record is from RefSeq and is a predicted model, not a curated record.